RNAcentral lists this long non-coding RNA (923 nucleotides) under Brassica rapa (field mustard). RNAcentral describes it as "long non-coding RNA (BRAP_LNC003721)". Lineage: Eukaryota; Viridiplantae; Streptophyta; Magnoliopsida; Brassicales; Brassicaceae. The record is from RNAcentral.
CGACUCCGGUCGAAGGGUCAGUCUCCUUCUCCGGUAAGCUUCUCCUCCUCUUCCAUGGAGGCUCUCCACGGUCACAAAGUGCAAUAUCCAAGUGUAAGUUAAACUACCUCUAGAACUCUAUUUCUAAGAAACUUCCCGCUUUGCGGAGAACCUUAACUUUCUCUACAAAUCUCCAAAUCCUACAACAACUACCAUGUCUCGGAGACUAUCUUACGCCGAGAAAGGCAAAGGUAUCGCAAACAACGCAUCCCCACCGAGGAAAUGGAGAGUCAUAGUACCUGAUUUUGAUAGCUCUGAGCUGAUAAGGAAGCAUGAACUCACGCUUAUUGGAAGAGUGACAAAUCCCAAAUACCAACGUAUGUGGUCUCUCAUUCCCUUUCUCUCAGAUCUCUGGAAAUGCAGCUCGAGACCUAUAGGUUCUGACUUAGGACAAGGAAGAUUUCAGUUCCAGUUUGCGUCAAAAGCUGAUUUACAAAAAGUGCUAGACAAUAGGCCUUACCAUUUUGCAAAGUGGAUGCUCAUCAUACAAAGGUGGGAACCUACAGUAUCCCCACGCUUCCCUUCCCAGAUCCCGUUCUGGAUCGAAGUCCAGAAUGUACCGCUACAUUUGUGGAAUGAAGCCAUAUUAAGGAGCAUUGCAGAGGAUAUCGGGACUUUCGAAAGUUGGGAAAUAACUGCGUCGAAGGCGAGAUUCAGAGCACACAUCAAUGGCCUCCAACCCCUCAUCUUCCAGUCCACUAUAGAGUUCAGUAACGGAGAUGAAGUACAGGCGAUGCUGGUUUAUGAAAAACUCGAGAAAUUCGGCACAAUCUGCAAGAAACUUGACCAUGAGUACACUGACUGCCCACAAAAACCAGCUUAGAAACCAGCUGAGAUAGAUCAGCAUAGAGGAGGCAAGCCAAAGACUGAGGAUCACAUGGUGC